RNAcentral lists this long non-coding RNA (740 nucleotides) under Homo sapiens (human). RNAcentral's name for it is "HSALNT0342091". Lineage: Eukaryota; Metazoa; Chordata; Mammalia; Primates; Hominidae. The record is from RNAcentral.
AUAGAAGGAAGGUCAGAGAGAUAGGAUGUAUAAGAGAUUCUACCCACCAUUGUUAGCUUUGAAGAUGGAGGAAGGAGGCCAUGGUCACGAAAUGUGGGAAGCCUCUAGAAGCUGGAAAAGCUGCCCAGUUUGUGGUAACUUGUGACAGCAGCAAUAAGAAGCUAGGACUCUCACCUACCCACCCUAGGCAUCCUAGGCAUUACUAUCUGCUAUAAUGUAAGUGAUUUCCUUUUGAGGAAUUGGUCAUCUGUCUGUCAAUUCUGGUCCAUUUCUCUAAUUCUGCCAUCAUCCACGAAGGAUUUCGAUGCUGGCAUAAAUUACCAGUCCAAAAUCACCCUCACAACUCCUGGACCUCCACAAUUCUAACAAUCUGCAUUUCACUCCAGGUCAGCUGUGCACUCACAUGAUCUCAUCCUUGGUCCUUUAUGGCUCUCCAGUAUUUUCGCUUCUUAUCUUUCCAUCAUUCUCUCUCAGUUACACUGCACCAAUUCUUUAAUGUCUUCAUGACUCCAGUUCCUUGCCCCUUUUUGAAUACAGGUCUCUCACCCUCUCUUAACGUCAUUUCUUUCUCUACUCAGUCUGGGCUUCCUUGUUGAUUACUUGAAUUUCUGUCUCACCGACACUAUAACUUUGCCACAGUACAAUCCUUCUAGAUUAGCACAGACCAUAUACACCUCUAAUACACCAUUCCCUGCCUACUAUUAAAUCAUCUAUAAAAAUACAGAAAAACUUACCAAAGC